CGGUUGCCCGCGGUCUUACCGUCGUUGGUAGCACAAUUGUCUCGCUGUUUUGUAUUUCGCUAGCUCCGUUGAUGCUAUGCAUCGAUGGCGGCCGAGAUGUUGGCAAAUUCCAUGCGCUGCGAUGCACUUUGUGCGUUGGAACUGCUUAUCGGAUGUUUGCCGGGUCUCACGGAUAUCAGUCCCUACGUUGAGUGGUCUGUGGGCUUCAAGCCUGCAGGCUCAUGGUGUUGCCCAUACAAAUAAAUUUGUUGCUGAUGGAUGUUUCCUCGACAUGUCGCGUUCUUUCGGGAUUCAUGUUGAGGGAUCUCACUCAGCACAUGUUUGUGUGUAUGUGCAUAUCCUUUACCGACCCUAAUGAUAUGCGAUUGCCAUGCAUUGUCAUGGCACC
Molecule: unclassified non-coding RNA, 388 nt
Filed under: Cyperus hystricoides
Lineage: Eukaryota; Viridiplantae; Streptophyta; Magnoliopsida; Poales; Cyperaceae
Description: partial contains ETS1f and partial 18S rRNA gene, ETS1f, and partial 18S rRNA gene
Source: RNAcentral